Molecule: long non-coding RNA, 1261 nt
Organism: Solanum lycopersicum (tomato)
Lineage: Eukaryota; Viridiplantae; Streptophyta; Magnoliopsida; Solanales; Solanaceae
Source: RefSeq, a predicted model, not a curated record
UUUUCCCUCCAUGAUUGCUGCAAAUCUUUUAGUUUUAGUUGAUUUCAUUUUCAGUUACUCAGUUUUCAUUCACCAUUCAUAUAUCAAGCUCUUGCUCCAGCUUAUUGGACGCAUGAAAAUAUGAAAAACUUUUAUAGUACGAUAUCUCCGACUUUAAGCUCUGCGAUUCUUCAACAUUUAUGUUUACCAUGAAUAACCUAGUUAAGAUAUAUGCACUUUAGCUUUGGUAAUUGUCAUAAAAUGAGGGAGAUGAAAGGGGGAGUGGGUAAAGUUACAUAGACCUGAGGAUUGAGAAUCAGAAAUCAUUUGAGAAAGUAGGUCUUACUCUGAGUUUAGACGGGGAAAAUAAUGGAAAUUGGGGUUAUAAUUGGAUAUGUGAACCUCUGUAUAACUGCUAUGGAUGAUAGAGAAUAGGGAUACUUGCUGCCUAUGAUGAUUUUGGUUUGGGGGUUUUGCAGAACAACUCCUGGUUUUACAAGUAGCUGCUAUAAGAUGUGUAGUUAAUGUGAUAAUAUGGUUCAUAAUUUGAAGGCCAUAGUAGCUCAUAUAUGUGGCUAAGGGCUACGUUGUUCGGACUCUUCAAAAAUGUCAAGGGUGCGUGGGAUUCACCAAAAGUAGUGUAUUUUGAAGAAUCCAACACAGGUAUCUCCAUACAAGGAAUUUAAGCACAACUGAGCUUGAGGGAUAUCAAUAAUUUACCUUUUAAGUUCUUAUUCAUAUUAGCUGUGACCGGGGAAGUUCUGCGGAAAUCCAGAAGAAUUUUAUUUCCCUGAUUUUGUUGAAGCUUUCUUAAGAAUACAUAGCUGCUCAGGCUGGGUGCUUCUUGUUAUAGUCUGCUUCUAUGAUCCUUUUCUGUUUCGGAGCAUAAGUUUCUAAUUGAUGGUCAAAUCGAAGAAAUUAAUGUGCCUGCAUGCAGUAUUGAGAUUCUGUACUUGAAAAGAGAUAUAGAGGAUACAACACCAAGAAGAAGGAAUCUUUGAAGAAGCAGUAAGGAGCUUUUGAAUAUUUCAUCUUCAAAAAAUUGUUUAUGGUUGAAGUUCAUAAUCGACUCAGGUAACUUGCAAACUGAACAAUACUAAGGAGUAAGGACAGAUUUCUAUUCUGGAAAGUUUUCAUCGAUGGCACAAGAUUAUAUCACAUCAUUGUCAUUCUUGUGUUAUAUUGUGUUCGCUUUAUAUGAACUACGUUUCUCUGAAUUUGUACCAAAAUGAUGUAUAUAUAAAUGAUUUCUUAUGUGUGUCAAAUAAUUCAUAAUAACAUA